RNAcentral lists this ribosomal RNA (613 nucleotides) under bacterium. RNAcentral describes it as "bacterial SSU rRNA". It matches the Rfam family "Bacterial small subunit ribosomal RNA", at positions 56 to 650 of the family's 1533-position model. The record is from RNAcentral.
UGCAAGUCGAGCGGACAGAUGGGAGCUUGCUCCCUGAUGUUAGCGGCGGACGGGUGAGUAACACGUGGGUAACCUGCCUGUAAGACUGGGAUAACUCCGGGAAACCGGGGCUAAUACCGGAUGCUUGUUUGAACCGCAUGGUUCAAACAUAAAAGGUGGCUUCGGCUACCACUUACAGAUGGACCCGCGGCGCAUUAGCUAGUUGGUGAGGUAAUGGCUCACCAAGGCAACGAUGCGUAGCCGACCUGAGAGGGUGAUCGGCCACACUGGGACUGAGACACGGCCCAGACUCCUACGGGAGGCAGCAGUAGGGAAUCUUCCGCAAUGGACGAAAGUCUGACGGAGCAACGCCGCGUGAGUGAUGAAGGUUUUCGGAUCGUAAAGCUCUGUUGUUAGGGAAGAACAAGUACCGUUCGAAUAGGGCGGUACCUUGACGGUACCUAACCAGAAAGCCACGGCUAACUACGUGCCAGCAGCCGCGGUAAUACGUAGGUGGCAAGCGUUGUCCGGAAUUAUUGGGCGUAAAGGGCUCGCAGGCGGUUCCUUAAGUCUGAUGUGAAAGCCCCCGGCUCAACCGGGGAGGGUCAUUGGAAACUGGGGGAACUUGAGUGCA